Molecule: long non-coding RNA, 771 nt
Organism: Myotis davidii
Lineage: Eukaryota; Metazoa; Chordata; Mammalia; Chiroptera; Vespertilionidae
Exons: 3
Source: RefSeq, a predicted model, not a curated record
AAAGUCACGCGGAUGCGGCCGAGCCCCCGCGGGAGAGCACGUCUGCGGGCGUCUCCUCGGGUUUACCUGCACCGAGCCCGCCGCUUGUUGUGCUUGAAGGAUGCACCUUGAUUAAGGUGGCCACACGCGGGUUGGCACUGAAAUGUGCACGCGGACACCUGUCCGCCCGGGGGACGUCUCCCAGCCGCGGAGCUGGGCGAAGGGGGCGGCGGGUAGGCCGCGAACUCUCCCGGAGGCGCGUUUCUCUCCACCCCCCGCCCCCGCGGACCCCGCAGGCACCACCGUCUCAUGUCCUCGCGCCCCGCGGGCGCCAGGCCCCGAUGCCCCGAAGAACCCUAGAGGUGAUUCCGCCCGGGACAACAGCCCCCGUUCCCGGGAGUGGGACACCCUCCCUCCACCCCGGGAACAGCUCCUAGACGACCCCUCUGUGCACUCCCCCAGGUUCCCCAUCCGACACGGUGGGGAGUGGGCCGGCACCUCGCCUUCUCAGCCCGCCCCCGGCGCCGGCGCGGGGAACUGCGCGCCCCUCCCCGAAGUCAGCACCCACCCGCGGGGCGGCUGGCGGGCGGCCGCCCUUUUAAAUCCCCGGGCUCAUUUGCAUGGCCCCGCCCCCUCGGUGACACGGCUGGCGCGGGCGGGCCCGUCCCCCCUGCCCCUGGGUCGCUCUUUUUAAGCUCCCCUGAGCCGGGGCUGCGCUCCUCUAAUUGGGACUCCGAGCCCGGGCUAUUUCUGGCGCUGGCGCGGCUCCAAGAAGGCAUCCGCAUUUGCUAC